RNAcentral lists this ribosomal RNA (497 nucleotides) under uncultured bacterium. RNAcentral describes it as "partial 16S ribosomal RNA". It matches the Rfam family "Bacterial small subunit ribosomal RNA", at positions 28 to 507 of the family's 1533-position model. The record is from RNAcentral.
GAUGAACGCUGGCGGCGUGCCUAAUACAUGCAAGUCGAGCGAACAGACGAGGAGCUUGCUCCUCUGACGUUAGCGGCGGACGGGUGAGUAACACGUGGAUAACCUACCUAUAAGACUGGGAUAACUUCGGGAAACCGGAGCUAAUACCGGAUAAUAUAUUGAACCGCAUGGUUCAAUAGUGAAAGACGGUUUUGCUGUCACUUAUAGAUGGAUCCGCGCCGCAUUAGCGAGUUGGUAAGGUAACGGCUUACCAAGGCAACGAUGCGUAGCCGACCUGAGAGGGUGAUCGCCCACACUGGAGCUGAGACACGGCCCAGGCUCCUACGGGCGGCACCAGUAGGGACGCUUCCGCAAUGGGCGAAAGCCUGACGGAGCAACGCCGCGUGAGUGAUGAAGGUCUUCGGAUCGUAAAACGCUGUUAUUAGGGAAGAACAAAUGUGUAAGUAACUAUGCACGUCUUGACGGUACCUAAUCAGAAAGCCCCGGCUAACUACGUG